AGUGAACGCUGGCGGUAGGCCUAACACAUGCAAGUCGAACGGCAGCACAGUAAGAGCUUGCUCUUACGGGUGGCGGGUGGCGGACGGGUGAGGAAUACAUCGGAAUCUACUUUUUCGUGGGGGAUAACGUAGGGAAACUUACGCUAAUACCGCAUACGACCUACGGGUGAAAGCAGGGGAUCUUCGGACCUUGCGCGAUUGAAUGAGCCGAUGUCGGAUUAGCUAGUUGGCGGGGUAAAGGCCCACCAAGGCGACGAUCCGUAGCUGGUCUGAGAGGAUGAUCAGCCACACUGGAACUGAGACACGGUCAAGACUCCUACGGGAGGCAGCAGUGGGGAAUAUUGGACAAUGGGCGCAAGCCUGAUCCAGCCAUACCGCGUGGGUGAAGAAGGCCUUCGGGUUGUAAAGCCCUUUUGUUGGGAAAGAAAAGCAGCAGGUUAAUACCCCGCUGUUCCGACGGUACCCAAAGAAUAAGCACCGGCUAACUUCGUG
Molecule: ribosomal RNA, 492 nt
Filed under: uncultured bacterium
Lineage: Bacteria
Description: partial 16S ribosomal RNA
Rfam family: Bacterial small subunit ribosomal RNA
Source: RNAcentral